Molecule: RNase P RNA, 378 nt
Filed under: Salinivirgaceae bacterium
Lineage: Bacteria; Pseudomonadati; Bacteroidota; Bacteroidia; Bacteroidales; Salinivirgaceae
Description: RNase P RNA component class A
Rfam family: Bacterial RNase P class A
About the family: Ribonuclease P (RNase P) is a ubiquitous endoribonuclease, found in archaea, bacteria and eukarya as well as chloroplasts and mitochondria. Its best characterised activity is the generation of mature 5'-ends of tRNAs by cleaving the 5'-leader elements of precursor-tRNAs.
Source: RNAcentral
UUAGUAGAUCGUUCUAUCGCUUUUUAAAGAGGAAAGUCCGGGCAACUUAGAGCACCAAGCUUCUGAAAUAGGAGAUAUCUGUGAAGGUAUAGAUCAGGCAGAAGAAAAUAACCGUCCCGAUUUAUCGGGAUAAGGGUGAGAAGGUGAGGUAAGAGCUCACCAGUCAGGCAAGUGAUUGUUUGAGCUGUGUCUCUCUUGGGUUGAAAGACCAUGUAUAUCCAAAAUCUGCGUAGCAGAGCAAGGCUGCUCGCUUUGUAUUCGAAAGAAUAUUUUGGAGGGGUAGGUCGCUAGAGACUUUGAGUAAUCAAAGUUCAAGAUAAAUGAUAGAAAUUUAGCAUUUGCUAAAUACAGGACCCGGCUUAUAGAUCUACUAACUUU